Molecule: long non-coding RNA, 164 nt
Organism: Etheostoma cragini (Arkansas darter)
Lineage: Eukaryota; Metazoa; Chordata; Actinopteri; Perciformes; Percidae
Exons: 3
Source: RefSeq, a predicted model, not a curated record
GGUGCAAUGGAUUGCGUACAAACCAAAAGGGUGUCGGAAUGGUACAUGUUUAUACUUCUCAUCCAACCGCAAUCAAAUUCACUCUAUCCGGAGGGCGCGAUUUAUCUGGAUAGUUUUUUUUUGUUUUUUUUUGUUUUUUUGAACAAUGACAAGCAGGAAUGAAA